AGCACCUUCGUGGUGUGACUGCGUACCUUUUGUAUAAUGGGUCAGCGACUUAUAUUCAGUAGCGAGGUUAACCGAAUAGGGGAGCCGUAGAGAAAUCGAGUCUUAAUAGGGCGUAUAGUUGCUGGGUAUAGACCCGAAACCAGGCGAUCUAUCCAUGAGCAGGUUGAAGGUUGGGUAACACUAACUGGAGGACCGAACCCACUGUCGUUGAAAAGCCAGGGGAUGACUUGUGGAUAGGGGUGAAAGGCUAAUCAAGCCUGGUGAUAGCUGGUUCUCCCCGAAAGCUAUUUAGGUAGCGCCUCGGACGAAUACCAUUGGGGGUAGAGCACUGUUUCGGCUAGGGGGUCAUCCCGACUUACCAAACCGAUGCAAACUCCGAAUACCAAUGAGUACUAUCCGGGAGACAGACUGCGGGUGCUAACGUCCGUAGUCAAGAGGAAAACAAUCCAGACCGCCAGCUAAGGCCCCAAAAUCAUAGUUAAGUGGGAAACGAUGUGGGAAGGCAUAGACAGCUAGGAGGUUGGCUUAGAAGCAGCCACCCUUUAAAGAAAGCGUAAUAGCUCACUAGUCGAGUCGGCCUGCGCGGAAGAUGUAACGGGGCUAAAACUAUGUGCCGAAGCUGCGGAUUUGACAUUAGUCAAGUGGUAGGGGAGCGUUCUGUAAGCCGAUGAAGGUGUAUUGAGAAGUAUGCUGGAGGUAUCAGAAGUGCGAAUGCUGACGUGAGUAACGACAAAACGGGUGAAAAACCCGUUCGCUGAAAGACCAAGGGUUCCAGUCCAACGUUAAUCGGGGCUGGGUGAGUCGACCCCUAAGGCGAGGCCGAGAGGCGUAGUCGAUGGGAAAUUGGUUAAUAUUCCAAUACUUCUGUGUAAUGCGAUGAGAGGACGGAGAAGGUUAAGUCAGCCUGGCGUUGGUUGUCCAGGUGGAAGACAGUAGGCAUGCAUCUUAGGCAAAUCCGGGGUGCUCUAUGCUGAGAGUCGAUAGCAAGCUGUACUUGUACAGUGAAGUGGCUGAUACCAUGCUUCCAGGAAAAGUCUCUAAGCUUCAGUUACACAGGAAUCGUACCCGAAACCGACACAGGUGGUCAGGUCGAGUAGACCAAAGCGCUUGAGAGAACUCUGCUGAAGGAACUAGGCAAAAUGGUACCGUAACUUCGGGAGAAGGUACGCUGCUGACGGUGAUGGGACUUGCUCCCUGAGCUAUUGGCAGCCACAGAAACCAGGCCGCUGCAACUGUUUAUUAAAAACAUAGCACUCUGCAAACACGAAAGUGGACGUAUAGGGUGUGAUGCCUGCCCGGUGCUGGAAGGUUAAUUGAUGGGGUUAGCGUAAGCGAAGCUCUUGAUCGAAGCCCCAGUAAACGGCGGCCGUAACUAUAACGGUCCUAAGGUAGCGAAAUUCCUUGUCGGGUAAGUUCCGACCUGCACGAAUGGCAUAAUGAUGGCGGCGCUGUCUCCAGCAGAGGCUCAGUGAAAUCGAAAUCGCUGUGAAGAUGCAGUGUACCCGCGGCUAGACGGAAAGACCCCGUGAACCUUUACUGCAGCUUGACAUUGAACUUUGACCUUACUUGUGUAGGAUAGGUGGGAGGCUUUGAAGUUGGAACGCUAGUUCCAAUGGAGCCGUCCUUGAAAUACCACCCUGGUAAUGUUGAGGUUCUAACUCUGUCCCGUUAUCCGGGACGAGGACCAUGUCUGGUGGGUAGUUUGACUGGGGCGGUCUCCUCCUAAAGAGUAACGGAGGAGUACGAAGGUGCGCUCAGCGUGGUCGGAAAUCACGCGUAGAGUAUAAAGGCAAAAGCGCGCUUAACUGCGAGACCCACAAGUCGAGCAGGUACGAAAGUAGGUCUUAGUGAUCCGGUGGUUCUGUAUGGAAGGGCCAUCGCUCAACGGAUAAAAGGUACUCUGGGGAUAACAGGCUGAUACCGCCCAAGAGUUCAUAUCGACGGCGGUGUUUGGCACCUCGAUGUCGGCUCAUCUCAUCCUGGGGCUGAAGCAGGUCCCAAGGGUAUGGCUGUUCGCCAUUUAAAGAGGUACGCGAGCUGGGUUUAGAACGUCGUGAGACAGUUCGGUCCCUAUCUACCGUGGGCGCUGGAAAUUUGAGAGGAUCUGCUCCUAGUACGAGAGGACCAGAGUGGACGAACCUCUGGUGUACCGGUUGUGACGCCAGUCGCAUCGCCGGGUAGCUAUGUUCGGAAGGGAUAACCGCUGAAAGCAUCUAAGCGGGAAGCCUACCUCAAGAUAAGAUUUCCCUAGGAAUUUAUUCCUCUAAAGAGCCGUUCGAGACUAGGACGUUGAUAGGUUGGGUGUGGAAGCACGGUGACGUGUGAAGCUGACCAAUACUAAUUGCUCGUGAGGCUUGACUAU
Molecule: ribosomal RNA, 2362 nt
Filed under: Acinetobacter haemolyticus
Lineage: Bacteria; Pseudomonadati; Pseudomonadota; Gammaproteobacteria; Moraxellales; Moraxellaceae
Description: bacterial LSU rRNA
Rfam family: Bacterial large subunit ribosomal RNA
Source: RNAcentral